UUAAUUAAGUGCAAGUAACGUUAAAUCAUUCAAAAUGGUAUUUCUUCUAUACUUUUUGAUUUACCUAUAAUAUAUACGUUAUAUAUAAUAUACGUUAUACGAUUUUUGUUCAAGUCGACGUUGAGGAUGAAAUGAUAGAAAUUAAUUCGGCGGCUGGUUUGAUUACCGUUUUAACAAGAAUCCUUAGGAAUACUGAAGACAGAAAUGCAAACACUUAUAUCGCCGAUGCUGUCAUGAAUAGAAUAUUGUCAUUUGAUCAUUUGCCUACUGACAAAAAACAUGUAUUUUCUGUGUUGCUGAACAAUAUAAUGUGCUUAUAUCACGUAGCUUGCCAUAGACAGUUAAUUGAAUAUGUAGCUUUCAAAGACAGAUUAGUCGAUUUAUCGAUAGACUAUGCUAUAGUAGAUUAUGAAUUAAAAAUUUCCAACGAAAACGUGGACAUGUUAGAGCACACUCUUAAGGACAUUUAAAAAAAAAUUUGUUUAUCUAUGAGGCAUGUAGCCUGGCUGAAGAGUUUGAUAUUUGUAGGCGCAAAUUAACAAAUUUUAGAAUGGAUUCUCUCGAUCAUUUCGAACACAGUAAAAUAUUGUUCAGAUGUUGAAGACGAAUUGUUCAGAUUCGUCCCAGAAUUUUAUAUUGAUAAUCUGAUGGGGUUAGCUGUUCUAUUGCCUGAUUACACUAACGUAAUCCAGAAGUUCGAUGCUAUUAUAGUUGCUAAAAAAUGGUUAGCCAUGUUCAUUGCUGAAAUAUUACUUGACAUUUUUAAUGAUCAUAGAAUAAUCCAUCCGAAAACCAAAGAAAUAAUUGUACAAGGAGUCACUUUGUAUUUGACUAAUCCUAAAUCAGUUGAAAAAAAAUCACGACUGCGUGCGAUCAAAUCAAUUUUAAAACCGAGGGAGUGAAAAAUGUAGAUCAAAACCAAUUUAAUAUUAAUGUUAAUUUGGUACGGUUCUGGAUUUGCAUUUCGUUAUGUACAACCGCCUCAUCUAAACAAUAAACACAUCUCUACACAAGGAGCACUUGAAGAAAUUGUGUUUUCUAACAUGGGCACUGUACGACCACCUGCUACCGUGUUACAAAAUGACAUAUGAACGGUUAUAGCUCAAGACAAAGAAACAGCGUCUAAUUUUAUCAAUAACUCAUUUAAUUAUCUAAACUGGGCUUUUUCUGAGUUCAUAAGUUUAUUCCAAGAAAUAAAAGAUAUAAACGAAAACCAUACUGUUAUUUUUUCGUCGGAAGAAGUGAACAAGCUAAAAAUGUGUGGUAAAAGUUUUAUUUACACUGUAACAUUAUUACGUGUUAUUGAAAUGAUGAUUCAUUUUGAUCGUAAUUUCAUAAUUGACCAAGAAGGAUCACUUGGCAGAGUCUUUCAGGUUGCGAAGAAUCCUUGAAUUGUUUUUUUUAAAUAUAAUGCAUUAGGUACUUACAUAAUGUAAUACAUUAAUUGUUUUGUGCUUUUCAGUUAAUAUGUCAAAUUCUCAAUCGUAUAAAUGCCUCAUCUUCUACGUUUAGCCGAAUUUCGCAAUUAUCGUUACCGCAUAUGGAUUGUGUACAUAAGUUUACAAUUCUUGUAGCUACAAACUGGUGUUUUGUUAUCUAUGUUAGACGGUGAAAUAAAUAAAAAGGGUGAAUGAACAAGCCUCAUAUAUUUUAAAUGUUUGAAACA
Molecule: unclassified non-coding RNA, 1666 nt
Filed under: Acyrthosiphon pisum (pea aphid)
Lineage: Eukaryota; Metazoa; Arthropoda; Insecta; Hemiptera; Aphididae
Description: uncharacterized LOC100573922, transcript variant X1
Source: RNAcentral